UACAGGGGAGCAAGCGUUGUUCGGAUUCAUUGGGCGUAAAGGGUGCGUAGGCGGACAGGUAAGUCAGUGGUGAAACUCUCUGGGCUUAACCCAGAAACUGCCGUUGAUACUAUUUGUCUUGAAUAUCCUGGAGGUAGGCGGAAUAUGUCAUGUAGCGGUGAAAUGCUUAGAUAUGACAUAGAACACCGAUAGCGAAGGCAGCUUACUCAGGAUGAUUGAACGC
RNAcentral lists this ribosomal RNA (223 nucleotides) under uncultured bacterium. RNAcentral's name for it is "partial 16S ribosomal RNA". It matches the Rfam family "Bacterial small subunit ribosomal RNA", at positions 524 to 746 of the family's 1533-position model. The record is from RNAcentral.